Unclassified non-coding RNA from Otolemur garnettii (small-eared galago), 102 nucleotides. It matches the Rfam family "Y RNA". From Rfam's summary of the family: Y RNAs are components of the Ro ribonucleoprotein particle (Ro RNP), in association with Ro60 and La proteins. The Y RNAs and Ro60 and La proteins are well conserved, but the function of the Ro RNP is not known. NCBI's taxonomy places the organism in Eukaryota, Metazoa, Chordata, Mammalia, Primates, Galagidae. The record is from Ensembl.
GGCUGGUCUGAUUGCAGUGGUGUUUACAGCUAAUUGAUCACAACCAGUUAUAGAUUCCUCUGGUCAUUUUCUACUCCCACUGUGUCACUUGGCAAGCCUAAA